UACAGAGGGGGCAAGCGUUGUUCGGAAUUACUGGGCGUAAAGGGCGCGUAGGCGGCCUGUUAAGUCGAACGUGAAAUCCCUGGGCUCAACCCAGGAACUGCGUCCGAUACUGGCAGGCUUGAAUCCGGGAGAGGGAUGUGGAAUUCCAGGUGUAGCGGUGAAAUGCGUAGAUAUCUGGAGGAACACCGGUGGCGAAGGCGGCAUCCUGGACCGGUAUUGACGCUGAGGCGCGAAAGUCAGGGGAGCAAACGGG
This 253-nucleotide ribosomal RNA is filed under the name uncultured bacterium. RNAcentral describes it as "partial 16S ribosomal RNA". It matches the Rfam family "Bacterial small subunit ribosomal RNA", at positions 524 to 776 of the family's 1533-position model. The record is from RNAcentral.